GUGCCAGGGCCGGCGCUGCAUGGCGCUGCUCAGCCUGCCUUGCAGAGGGAGCUCGAGUCCCGCUCUGCGCCUCGCAGCGCCUCUCCCUCCGCAGCGCACACGGCGGCAGCGCAGCGAGGUGGCGGCAGGAAGGGGCUGCGGGCCGGGCCGGGCCAACAGAACCGCCGCAACGCUCCGCUCCGGCUCCGAAACCCCACGAGGAGCUGGAGGAGGGAGAAAAGAGAGAGCCCCGAGGAGAUGAUGUUAAAGCCACACAAAUGAGGUUAUUCCUAUGAGUUCCAGGAGCAGAGUCAUUUUGUCCUGACGUGCAGCACCCUGCCUGCCCUGACAGAAGGCUGCUUCCCUGCUCCAGUCUCUGCAGCCAAGGUACAGCUUAUCCUGGAAGAUGGUAUUCUGCUGCAGGGAUGGGGCCAGGCUUUGGCAGAGCAAGAACACCCACAUAAGCUGCUGGAGCACUGAGCUGUUCUUAUUUCCAGAGAAACAGUCAAAACCCAACACGACAUGGCCCUGAGCAGCCUGCUCAAGCUAACACCAUAUUGAGCAGGGGGGAAUGGAAGGCUGUGUUCACUGUGUUCAGAGGUCCCUUCCCAGCUCAACUCCAUAAUUCCUUGAUCCGCUGUGGCUCAGUAUCACUGUGAUGAGACAUACACAGUCCUACUGCUCUCACUUCCAGCCAUUGCCUCCUUCCUCUGGGGCAGGUCAGGACUUCCCUGUGCUGAGUAUGUGACCCUGCUCUGCCCAUUGCAGCAUGGCACCUUCUUAUGCUCUGCAGCAUCUUGAUAACUCAGAGAGCUCAGGGGAAGCAAGAACUCCUUUCACUGCUACGAGAGAUGCCUGUCUCACUGUUGGUAAAAGCAGAAGGUUGAUCCUCAGCUGAGAAACAUCCAACUUGGUCAAUCCAGCUCCCUGCCCCUCGGCACCCACGCAACACCAACGCUCUUUUAAAGUCCUGCGGACUUCCAGGUGUGGCAAAAGGGGCAGCAGUUCCUUCCCAGCUCAGGCGACUUCUGGAAAGAAACAGCAUCGCUUCCAAAGUGUUGGUCCUUCCAGGACAGGGCACGUGUCCCCAAGCAACUGGAAGGCAAGAGGCGGAGGAAUCCAGUGCGUCUCCCUGCCGCUCCGAUCCCAGCAGCUGUAGCACGAAGGUGCACCCUUGGACAGAUCCCAUCCCUAAGAGCCCACAGAGCUCCCAGUCCAGGAGAUGAAGCAAGUGGGCCAGGCUUGGGGAUGAUGUUGUGACACCCCAACCAGCUAUGCACUUCUGCAUGCACCUACAUGGCGACCCUGAGAGCUUCCCAACACCCCCACGUACACACAGGGCUGCACACUCCAUGCUGAGAUCUCUGCCCAGCAGCCCUGCACACAGAUCUGCACACAGCAGCCAUCCCCAGCAGAGCUGGUGACACGGGACGCAGGACACGUGUGUGCACAGCAUUGCCGUGGGGCUACAAACAACCAAGACACAUAGACUCCAAGAAGUGACGUGGCUGACAGGCUCUAAGACAGAGACAUUUGUGAGCAAAGCAGCAGGAGUGGGGCUGAGGGAUGAGGACAGCUCACAUGUCCCAACCUGUGCAGCAGCUGCCGCGAUCUGGAGGCCUAGAAACCCACUCAGAUGGUUCUCUCAGUGCCAUCUAGCAAAUAAUAAAUAACACCCGUGCUUAGG
Coturnix japonica (Japanese quail) is the source of this 1666-nucleotide non-coding RNA. The record is from RefSeq and is a predicted model, not a curated record. Lineage: Eukaryota; Metazoa; Chordata; Aves; Galliformes; Phasianidae.